AGCUUUGUGCAGUGGCAGUAUUGUAGCUAAUGAGGUUUAUCCGAGGCACAACUAUUGCUAAUUGAGUUAAGUAAACUUAAAGAUUGAAUGUUUUCCCAUUUGUGUCACUGGUCUAACAAUAAUGUAAAGCCUAGUAUUAAUGGUUUUUAGCAAAA
This 155-nucleotide small nuclear RNA is filed under the name Suricata suricatta (meerkat). Its description in RNAcentral is "U4 spliceosomal RNA (ENSSSUG00005016546.1)". The stretch from base 1 to 66 matches the Rfam family "U4 spliceosomal RNA". Lineage: Eukaryota; Metazoa; Chordata; Mammalia; Carnivora; Herpestidae. The record is from RNAcentral.